Molecule: unclassified non-coding RNA, 345 nt
Filed under: soil metagenome
Description: partial contains 5.8S ribosomal RNA, internal transcribed spacer 2, and large subunit ribosomal RNA
Rfam family: 5.8S ribosomal RNA (bases 1-120)
Source: RNAcentral
GAUGAAGAACGCAGCGAAAUGCGAUACGUAAUGUGAAUUGCAGAAUUCAGUGAAUCAUCGAGUCUUUGAACGCACAUUGCGCCCCCUGGUAUUCCGGGGGGCAUGCCUGUCCGAGCGUCAUUGCUGCCCUCAAGCACGGCUUGUGUGUUGGGCCUCCGUCCUCCUCCCGGGGGACGGGCCCGAAAGGCAGCGGCGGCACCGCGCCCGGCCCUCGAGCGUAUGGGGCUUCGUCACCCGCUCUUGUAGGCCCGGCCGGCGCUUGCCGACACAUCAAUCUUUUUUCCAGGUUGACCUCGGAUCAGGUAGGGAUACCCGCUGAACUUAAGCAUAUCAAUAAGCGGAGGA